AAAACAUAGUAUAUGACCUAGUUACUUUCACUAGCGUCGAGCUAUACUUAUUAUUAAUCCUGGUUAGCCUAAAGAAUGACCUAAAUCACUAAGCAUGCUUAUAUAUAUCAAAAGAUUAAAAUCUACAUAUCAUAGCUUAGUAUGACAAUCAACUGUUAUGUACAUUGAAUACCACCACUGAAGCAUUUCUUGUAUUACUAAUGUACCUAUCUUGCUCUAACCAAAAAAAAAAAAAAGUGCAGCAU
Molecule: non-coding RNA, 245 nt
Organism: Pelobates cultripes (western spadefoot toad)
Lineage: Eukaryota; Metazoa; Chordata; Amphibia; Anura; Pelobatidae
Source: the annotation of a GenBank genome assembly